RNAcentral lists this transfer-messenger RNA (415 nucleotides) under Bacteroidaceae. RNAcentral's name for it is "UBA6382 sp017616915 Standard tmRNA". It matches the Rfam family "transfer-messenger RNA". Rfam says of the family: Bacterial tmRNA, also known as 10Sa RNA or SsrA, is named for its dual tRNA and mRNA-like properties. Its role is to liberate the mRNA from a stalled ribosome. Lineage: Bacteria; Pseudomonadati; Bacteroidota; Bacteroidia; Bacteroidales. RNAcentral also lists the same sequence under 1 other name. The record is from RNAcentral.
GGGGCUAUUUGGUUUUGACAGCAGGUAGAAUGGUUGUGUAAGCACGCCGAGCAAUGAGGCAAUGCUCGUAAAUAUCGCUUCAACAUAUAACUGGCAACACUUCUUAUGCUCUCGCUGCCUAAUCGAAGUAUAGUAGAUUAGCAUCUUCGGGUGCCAGGCACCUGAACGAGACGUCGCUCCAAGCCGGGUCUGUGGGCUGAAAGGAUAUAGCGGCGCAGGAAUACACAGAAUAGGUCUUUUAGACUACGAUAAGAGACUGAUAGCUGAAGGCUGAAUGCCGAAAGCACUAAGUAGUUAAGCCGGCGGUUGGUGGCUUGGGUCUUGCCAACGGACGAAAAUUCAGGCCAAGAUAAGCGUGGAGAAAGCACAAGUAUUCCUUGUUUGGACACGGGUUCGAAUCCCGUUAGCUCCACUC